UUUCUUACAUUGAACCAGAGAGAUAGAUAUGCAAUCGUGUGUUAGUUGGUCGCACUUAUUGAAGAAAUAUAAUUAUUUGUAUGCAUUGUAUAAAUGCACACUUGUUCAUACAUAAAGCUUUUGAGUUUAGUUAAACUUUUAUUGUGUUGAGUCUCACUGAAUAGAAUAAGCUUUAUGUGAAACUUAAGUUACGAGACUCACCU
This 203-nucleotide long non-coding RNA is filed under the name Glycine max (soybean). Its description in RNAcentral is "long non-coding RNA (GMAX_LNC002671)". The record is from RNAcentral. Lineage: Eukaryota; Viridiplantae; Streptophyta; Magnoliopsida; Fabales; Fabaceae.